This 596-nucleotide long non-coding RNA is filed under the name Androctonus crassicauda. Lineage: Eukaryota; Metazoa; Arthropoda; Arachnida; Scorpiones; Buthidae. The record is from RNAcentral.
UUUUUACUCAUUUCAACCAAUACAAAAAUCUUAUCUUCAUCAUAACAAAAAUCCUUGAGCUUAUCAAAAGGAUGACAAUGAACAACAAUACUAUAUAGGAAGCACAAGCAGAAACUUAGAAAAAAGACUAAGUGAACAUAAAGCCGAUAUACUUGCGGCUAGACAGACUACCGUGUUGGCAUGUAAGGCCUACGAACAGAGAAUCAUUGUUGACUGGGCGGAUGCAACCCUGCUAAGACCAACAUAUCAGACCACCGGAUUGAGUACGCUGGAAGCUAUCCAGAUCGAGAAGAUGAAAUGCUCCCACACUAUUAUCAACAAUAACAUCCCCCAUGCGCUCCCUCCAUCAUGGAAAUGGUGUGCAGUCAACAACUUAUGACUAAUACUGCAACUCCGGCCUCCAACUUGUAUUUAUAUUCUUAUAGGUUGCUACGUGCGAUAAGAUGGUCGGUCUAUGAAGCUCGCCAAAAAUGGGCUAAUGCUUCCAUGUACAUUAGCGACACUCUGAAGGAUGAGACUAGAGCUAAGAACCGCCUAAAGCCAAAUGGUUCCUACAUAAAUAUAGAAAUUUUUAUAUAUAUGUAUAUGUGCAUGUG